UUUUUUUUUUUUUUUUUUGAGAUGGAGUCUUGCUCUGUCACCCAGGCUGGAGUGCAGUGGCCGGAUCUCAGCUCACUGCAAGCUCUGCUUCCCAGGUUGAUGCCAUUCUCCUGCCUCAGCCUCCCAAGUAGCUGGGACUACAGGCGCCCGCCACCACGCCCGGCUAAUUUUUUGUAUUUUUAGUAGAGACGUGUCAGCACCCAGGAGACUCUCAACAAACAUCCUCAAAUAACCAACUGACGUAUGUUCAAACCUUGGGCAAGUUCAUACAUGAGCUCCUGAGCCAACCACCCUUGGCUCUGAAGUCAUGGCCGCUGUAUAAGCUGCACUUCUUUCGUUUAUUUGUGCAGCAGUAUUUGUUAAGUCAGGUUCCACACAGAAAUCUCUAGAAUGCCAUCUCAGAUCAUGGAGGCUGGAGGGCAGACAGGAUAUUACCAGCGACUCUCUUCAUCUUGCAGUUCUAGGAAAAUGAGAAAACCCAUCUUCAGAGAAAAACAUCUGCCUAAAAACCCCCACCCGCGUCUGCAACCAGGGGCUUGCACGGCAAAAAAAACAAAACAAAACAAUAAAACAAAACAAAACAAAAAAACAAAAAACCUGUGGCCUUUUUCUUGUCUGUGGCAAUGGCACUCACAGCACUGGAUAUGGCAGGCACAGGGCUAUGCCCUGAUCCAGCAUUCAAGGCAAGUCUGUGGCCCACAGAGGCUGAGGCCAUAGAGCUCUGUGGGCUCGGGGGCUGGACAGAGUUAUCUCUGACCUUUAUCAGCUUGGCGGACAACAUCACAUGCCAGAAAGAGCAGUCACCAGGCGACUGUGAGUAAGCUCUUAGCCUGAGGCUCAGUGCGCGGUGGGCGUUCAGGAAGUGGUGGCCACUGUCAGGUUGUGACCAGGUAGUUCUCUGCUCAGAGCGUCCGCUGUCUGUCCUGGCAGGUCUGCAUGUCAUGCACUGUGGGCUGUGCACCACGACGCAUACCUUCCGUGUGCCAGGCUCAGAAGUACCAAGUUCAGCAAGUCUCUUCCCUGCCCUUGAGAGCCUGCUGGGAGCAGGGAAGCCACACUCAGCCACACCCUCUCGGUGAGCUUUACUG
RNAcentral lists this long non-coding RNA (1088 nucleotides) under Macaca fascicularis (crab-eating macaque). RNAcentral's name for it is "lncRNA (ENSMFAG00000056331.1)". The record is from RNAcentral. Lineage: Eukaryota; Metazoa; Chordata; Mammalia; Primates; Cercopithecidae.